This 233-nucleotide ribosomal RNA is filed under the name uncultured bacterium. RNAcentral's name for it is "partial 16S ribosomal RNA". It matches the Rfam family "Bacterial small subunit ribosomal RNA", at positions 794 to 1026 of the family's 1533-position model. The record is from RNAcentral.
UCCACGCCGUAAACGAUGCCAACUAGCCGUUUGUGUCCUUGAGACGUGAGUGGCGCAGCUAACGCACUAAGUUGACCGCCUGGGGAGUACGGCCGCAAGGUUAAAACUCAAAUGAAUUGACGGGGGCCCGCACAAGCGGUGGAGCAUGUGGUUUAAUUCGAUGCAACGCGAAGAACCUUACCAUCCCUUGACAUCCAGAGAAGCGACUAGAGAUAGACGUGUGCCUUCGGGAA